Long non-coding RNA from Juglans regia (Persian walnut), 711 nucleotides. RefSeq lists it as uncharacterized. Lineage: Eukaryota; Viridiplantae; Streptophyta; Magnoliopsida; Fagales; Juglandaceae. The transcript has 2 exons. The record is from RefSeq and is a predicted model, not a curated record.
AAAGACAUCUUCCCCGCGCUCUAUUUCCUCUGUUUUGAAAGGGAAAGAAGACCAAUUAUUAACGAAGUAAGCAACACGCUGCAACAAGCCUUUGCCCGUCUAUAUAUAUAUAUUAUAUAUAUAUAUAUAUAGUAAUAUUCGUAGACCAACACCCACAACAACGCUCAUUUUUGCACUUCUCAUCUCUCUCUCGACCAAACAUAUUGUCAUUUUAUGGAUAAGACAGUACCUGGCAACGAGGUUCCUGAGGAGCUGACUCGAGAGUCGCUUAUUGCGAUUUCUUAUUCUCUUCCAGACAAGGAUCCUGAUUCAAAACUCUCAUCUGAAACAUUGGAUGGUGAAAAUCUUGUUGGAGUGAUUGAUAGCAAAAGAGAAGAAAAGUACAGGUCUGAGCUGAUUUCUAUUUCCUACACACAAUCACCAGACUCUGGGAGUCAACCUGUUACGCCUGGAGAGCACAAGGGUUAGCCCAGCUUGGACAGCAGGUCCAAUCUUUAUGGGUAGUUGUUGUAUGUUGUGCUGUAGCACUGUCAUAAUAUUAAGUGAAUGGAUACAUGGCGCCUUUACAUGUCUUUCUGGAAGUUGACAUUAGUGCAAAAUAAACCUCACAAAGAAUUCUGCACUGUUUUGGGUGAGGAAGCUUUAUUUGGGCUAAAUGAUAGUGAAACCAUGUACUCAUCUUCCUUGCUAUUUCCUUGUUUCAUUUUACCA